This 87-nucleotide transfer RNA is filed under the name Marinicella sp. RNAcentral describes it as "tRNA-Leu". It matches the Rfam family "tRNA". Rfam says of the family: Transfer RNA (tRNA) molecules are approximately 80 nucleotides in length. Their secondary structure includes four short double-helical elements and three loops (D, anti-codon, and T loops). Further hydrogen bonds mediate the characteristic L-shaped molecular structure. tRNAs have two regions of fundamental functional importance: the anti-codon, which is responsible for specific mRNA codon recognition, and the 3' end, to which the tRNAs corresponding amino acid is attached (by aminoacyl-tRNA synthetases). tRNAs cope with the degeneracy of the genetic code in two manners: having more than one tRNA (with a specific anti-codon) for a particular amino acid; and 'wobble' base-pairing, i.e. permitting non-standard base-pairing at the 3rd anti-codon position. Lineage: Bacteria; Pseudomonadati; Pseudomonadota; Gammaproteobacteria; Lysobacterales; Marinicellaceae. RNAcentral also lists the same sequence under 1 other name. The record is from RNAcentral.
GCCGGGGUGGCGGAAUUGGUAGACGCGCCGGAUUCAAAAUCCGGUUCCCUUGCGGGAGUGGGAGUUCGAUUCUCCCCCUCGGCACCA